RNAcentral lists this ribosomal RNA (495 nucleotides) under uncultured bacterium. Its description in RNAcentral is "partial 16S ribosomal RNA". It matches the Rfam family "Bacterial small subunit ribosomal RNA", at positions 28 to 507 of the family's 1533-position model. The record is from RNAcentral.
GACGAACGCUGGCGGCGUGCCUAAUACAUGCAAGUAGAACGCUGAAGGAGGAGCUUGCUUCUCUGGAUGAGUUGCGAACGGGUGAGUAACGCGUAGGUAACCUGCCUGGUAGCGGGGGAUAACUAUUGGAAACGAUAGCUAAUACCGCAUAAGAGUAGAUGUCGCAUGACAUUUGCUUAAAAGGUGCAAUUGCAUCACUACCAGAUGGACCUGCGUUGUAUUAGCUAGUUGGUGAGGUAACGGCUCACCAAGGCAACGAUACAUAGCCGACCUGAGAGGGUGAUCGGCCACACUGGGACUGAGACACGGCCCAGACUCCUACGGGAGGCAGCAGUAGGGAAUCUUCGGCAAUGGACGGAAGUCUGACCGAGCAACGCCGCGUGAGUGAAGAAGGUUUUCGGAUCGUAAAGCUCGGUUGUAAGAGAAGAACGAGUGUGGGAGUGGAAAGUUCACACUGUGACGGUAUCUUACCAGAAAGGGACGGCUAACUACGUG